Molecule: ribosomal RNA, 468 nt
Filed under: uncultured bacterium
Lineage: Bacteria
Description: partial 16S ribosomal RNA
Rfam family: Bacterial small subunit ribosomal RNA
Source: RNAcentral
GACGAACGCUGGCGGCGUGCUUAACACAUGCAAGUCGAACGGAAAGGCCCUGCUUUUGUGGGGUGCUCGAGUGGCGAACGGGUGAGUAACACGUGAGUAACCUGCCCUUGACUUUGGGAUAACUUCAGGAAACUGGGGCUAAUACCGGAUAGGAGCUCCUGCUGCAUGGUGGGGGUUGGAAAGUUUCGGCGGUUGGGGAUGGACUCGCGGCUUAUCAGCUUGUUGGUGGGGUAGUGGCUUACCAAGGCUUUGACGGGUAGCCGGCCUGAGAGGGUGACCGGCCACAUUGGGACGGAGAUACGGCCCAGACUCGUACGGGAGGCAGCAGUGGGGAAUAUUGCACAAUGGGCGGAAGCCUGAUGCAGCAACGCCGCGUGCGGGAUGACGGCCUUCGGGUUGUAAACCGCUUUCGCCUGUGACGAAGCGUGAGUGACGGUAAUGGGUAAAGAAGCACCGGCUAACUACGUG